Molecule: ribosomal RNA, 421 nt
Filed under: uncultured bacterium
Lineage: Bacteria
Description: bacterial SSU rRNA
Rfam family: Bacterial small subunit ribosomal RNA
Source: RNAcentral
ACGAACGCUGGCGGCGUGCCUAACACAUGCAAGUCGAGCGGAGGUAUAUACGAAGAAGUUUUCGGACGGAAUUGUAUAUACUUUAGCGGCGGACGGGUGAGUAACGCGUGAGCAACCUGCCUUUCACAGGGGGAUAAGGCGGCGAAAGCCGCUCUAAUACCGCAUGAGACCACAGUGGUGAUGCUACAGGGGUCAAAGGAGCAAUCCGGUGAAAGAUGGGCUCGCGUCCGAUUAGGUAGUUGGUGGGGUAAUGGCCCACCAAGCCCGUGAUCGGUAGCCGGCCUGAGAGGGUGAACGGCCACAUUGGAACUGAGACACGGUCCAAACUCCUACGGGAGGCAGCAGUGGGGAAUAUUGGGCAAUGGGGGGAACCCUGACCCAGCAACGCCGCGUGAGGGAAGAAGGUUUUCGGAUUGUAAAC